UUGGGCGUAAGAGCUUGUAGGUGGUUUGUCGCGUCUGCUGUGAAAAUCCGAGGCUCAACCUCGGACUUGCAGUGGGUACGGGCAGACUAGAGUGUGGUAGGGGAGACUGGAAUUCCUGGUGUAGCGGUGGAAUGCGCAGAUAUCAGGAGGAACACCGAUGGCGAAGGCAGGUCUCUGGGCCAUUACUGACACUGAGAAGCGAAAGCAUGGGGAGCGAACAGGAUUAGAUACCCUGGUAGUCCAUGCCGUAAACGUUGGGAACUAGGUGUGGGUCUCAUUCCACGAGAUCCGUGCCGCAGCUAACGCAUUAAGUUCCCCGCCUGGGGAGUACGGCCGCAAGGCUAAAACUCAAAGGAAUUGACGGGGGCCCGCACAAGCGGCGGAGCAUGCGGAUUAAUUCGAUGCAACGCGAAGAACCUUACCAAGGCUUGACAUACGCCGGAAUCACUCAGAGAUGGGUGCGUCUUCGGACUGGUGUACAGGUGGUGCAUGGUUGUCGUCAGCUCGUGUCGUGAGAUGUUGGGUUAAGUCCCGCAACGAGCGCAACCCUCGUUCUAUGUUGCCAGCACGUCAUGGUGGGGACUCAUAGGAGACUGCCGGGGUCAACUCGGAGGAAGGUGGGGAUGACGUC
RNAcentral lists this ribosomal RNA (631 nucleotides) under uncultured bacterium. Its description in RNAcentral is "bacterial SSU rRNA". It matches the Rfam family "Bacterial small subunit ribosomal RNA", at positions 554 to 1186 of the family's 1533-position model. The record is from RNAcentral.